AUGGAUUGUAAUCUUAAGGUUGUUUUUUGGGACGUCCACGGUCUCAACUGCAGGGCCAAACGCAACAUUGUGCGCUCCGUUAUUAUUUUGGUCUCUCCCACUAUCGUGUGUCUCCAAGAGACCAAGCUUGACUCGGUCUCAUUGCCGCUCGUCAUUGAGACCCUUGGCCCCUGCUUCGCCGACUUCCUCUCUCUACCAGCUACUGACACCCGUGGCGGAAUUCUACUCGCCUGGAACUGCAACGAGAUCUCCAUCUCUAGCCCUUACAUUGGGCAACACCACAUCACUGCCCUUGUCUCUAUCACCACCGGUGCGCACCCUUGGUGGAUCUCCGGUGUGUACGGCCCUUGGUUACUUGGCGGUGAUUUCAACCUCGUUUCCUUCGUUGAAGAUAAGAGCAAUGGGCGCAUAAAUAGGCGCACCUCGAGCCGCUUCCGCAGGUUCAUCGCGGACAUGGAGCUUAGGGACAUAUACAUGCAUGGUCUCCGCUACACCUGGUCCAACGAACGAGACUCUCCAACCCUUGUGUGCAACGACAGAUUCCUCUACACUCCUGACUAG
This 561-nucleotide ribosomal RNA is filed under the name Triticum aestivum (bread wheat). Its description in RNAcentral is "partial small subunit ribosomal RNA". The record is from RNAcentral. Lineage: Eukaryota; Viridiplantae; Streptophyta; Magnoliopsida; Poales; Poaceae.